Molecule: ribosomal RNA, 468 nt
Filed under: uncultured bacterium
Lineage: Bacteria
Description: partial 16S ribosomal RNA
Rfam family: Bacterial small subunit ribosomal RNA
Source: RNAcentral
GACGAACGCUGGCGGCGCGCUUAACACAUGCAAGUCGAACGGAAAGGCCCUGCUUUUGUGGGGUGCUCGAGUGGCGAACGGGUGAGUAACACGUGAGUAACCUGCCCUUGACUUUGGGAUAACUUCAGGAAACUGGGGCUAAUACCGGAUAGGAGCUCCUGCUGCAUGGUGGGGGUUGGAAAGUUUCGGCGGUUGGGGAUGGACUCGCGGCUUAUCAGCUUGUUGGUGGGGUAGUGGCUUACCAAGGCUUUGACGGGUAGCCGGCCUGAGAGGGUGACCGGCCACAUUGGGACUGAGAUACGGCCCAGACUCCUACGGGAGGCAGCAGUGGGGAAUAUUGCACAAUGGGCAGAAGCCUGAUGCAGCAACGCCGCGUGCGGGAUGACGGCCUUCGGGUUGUAAACCGCUUUCGCCUGUGACGAAGCGUGAGUGACGGUAAUGGGUAAAGAAGCACCGGCUAACUACGUG